AGUCAGAAAACAAGAUGAACUUGGGAAAUUUACGAAUUUCGGUAUUGAAAACCGCAGACCACCCUCAGUUGUGCUUUGUCCACUGUACUGUAAAUGCUGCUAAUAUACCUCUGUCGCUAGCAGACGCAUGUCUUUGCAUUCGAUUGGUUGAACGGCAUUUCGUUUGCUGAUGGAGAACACCUUUGUUUUAAUUUGUAUUUUGUCAUCGGUUAUGUUAUUUGUUUUGUCUGUUACACUGAACUCUAUAAUGGGCUCUGUUAUUUGAUUUGAUUUUGUUAGGUAAAGAUGGAAGGCACUGUGACUAUAAAUAAUGGAAGGCUGAUCCUGUGUCACAGAGCCACAUAGAUGAGCAGCUACCCAUCGUAGGAUGCACACUCAACCUCCUGCUAGUUUCUGAGCCAAGUCAGCUUGACAGAGGGGUCUGCUAAUGCACAGCCACCUAGCCACUGCUAACAGAUGCUGGCUGGGACAGACGCUCAUCAAAGGCUCGUUGCUGUCGGCGGUUCUGAAGACAGCGGUUCGAUCCAGCUGAAGGACGUCACCUGGCAGGAAGUUGCAGAGUGUGGUGGCCAGUAUCAAGCCACAUUGUCCAGAAACCAUCACAUUAUCUCCAGGUCACUAGUCGCCGGUGCUCGAGCUGACGGCGUCGUUCAAGGGCUCCACGGUGACAAGCGCCGUCACCGCUGCCGCCGCCGCCGAGACCAUCCGACUCCUGGGCCCUGUUUCACGGCAGCGUACUGCAGCGCGCUACGCAGCGCUGCUGUGUUAGUGCGGCGAUUGAGACGAAUUCGGCUCGACGCUCCAGCGUUGCGAAACACCCGUGUCUAUGAAGGAAACGCCGAUACGUCCCCCAGCUUCAAGCCCUCCCCCCCCCCCCGCCCCGUUCCAA
This is a long non-coding RNA of Amphibalanus amphitrite, 889 nucleotides long. RefSeq lists it as uncharacterized. The transcript is spliced from 4 exons. The record is from RefSeq and is a predicted model, not a curated record. NCBI's taxonomy places the organism in Eukaryota, Metazoa, Arthropoda, Thecostraca, Balanomorpha, Balanidae.